AGUGAACGCUGGCGGUAGGCCUAACACAUGCAAGUCGAACGGCAGCACAGUAAGAGCUUGCUCUUACGGGUGGCGAGUGGCGGACGGGUGAGGAAUACAUCGGAAUCUACUUUUUCGUGGGGGAUAACGUAGGGAAACUUACGCUAAUACCGCAUACGACCUACGGGUGAAAGCAGGGGAUCUUCGGACCUUGCGCGAUUGAAUGAGCCGAUGUCGGAUUAGCUAGUUGGCGGGGGAAAGGCCCACCAAGGCGACGAUCCGUAGCUGGUCUGAGAGGAUGAUCAGCCACACUGGAACUGAGACACGGUCCAUGCUCCUACGGGAGGCAGCAGUGGGGAAUAUUGGACAAUGGGCGCAAGCCUGAUCCAGCCAUACCGCGUGGGUGAAGAAGGCCUUCGGGUUGUAAAGCCCUUUUGUGGGGAAAGAAAAGCAGCAGGUUAAUACCCCGCUGUUCUGACGGUACCCAAAGAAUAAGCACCGGCUAACUUCGUG
This 492-nucleotide ribosomal RNA is filed under the name uncultured bacterium. Its description in RNAcentral is "partial 16S ribosomal RNA". It matches the Rfam family "Bacterial small subunit ribosomal RNA", at positions 29 to 507 of the family's 1533-position model. The record is from RNAcentral.